This 778-nucleotide ribosomal RNA is filed under the name unidentified microorganism. Its description in RNAcentral is "bacterial SSU rRNA". It matches the Rfam family "Bacterial small subunit ribosomal RNA", at positions 51 to 824 of the family's 1533-position model. The record is from RNAcentral.
ACACAUGCAGUCGAGCGGAGAUGAGGUGCUUGCACCUUAUCUUAGCGGCGGACGGGUGAGUAAUGCUUAGGAAUCUGCCUAUUAGUGGGGGACAACAUUUCGAAAGGAAUGCUAAUACCGCAUACGCCCUACGGGGGAAAGCAGGGGAUCUUCGGACCUUGCGCUAAUAGAUGAGCCUAAGUCGGAUUAGCUAGUUGGUGGGGUAAAGGCCUACCAAGGCGACGAUCUGUAGCGGGUCUGAGAGGAUGAUCCGCCACACUGGGACUGAGACACGGCCCAGACUCCUACGGGAGGCAGCAGUGGGGAAUAUUGGACAAUGGGGGGAACCCUGAUCCAGCCAUGCCGCGUGUGUGAAGAAGGCCUUUUGGUUGUAAAGCACUUUAAGCGAGGAGGAGGAGCUCUAGAUUAAUACUCUAGAUGCUUGGACGUUACUCGCAGAAUAAGCACCGGCUAACUCUGUGCCAGCAGCCGCGGUAAUACAGAGGGUGCAAGCGUUAAUCGGAUUUACUGGGCGUAAAGCGUGCGUAGGUGGUCUUUUAAGUCGGAUGUGAAAUCCCUGAGCUUAACUUAGGAAUUGCAUUCGAUACUGGGAGACUAGAGUAUGGGAGAGGAUGGUAGAAUUCCAGGUGUAGCGGUGAAAUGCGUAGAGAUCUGGAGGAAUACCGAUGGCGAAGGCAGCCAUCUGGCCUAAUACUGACACUGAGGUACGAAAGCAUGGGGAGCAAACAGGAUUAGAUACCCUGGUAGUCCAUGCCGUAAACGAUGUCUACUAGCCGUU